AAAAAAUUUGUCAAUAUAUGUUGAGUUAAAUUUCAUCAUAUGAAGAGGGAAGCGACUCAUUUAGCUGACCGUCAGGCUAACUUGGGUGUUAGGCUGCAGUCUUGUAGUCAGUGGAUGGGGGGGCUUNNNNNNNNNNNNUUUGACUCUUUCUCCCACUUAUCAUCUCUCUGCGGGACUUGUUCCCUCUUCAACUCAGCGCUUUAUAUUUAUAGAUAGGCAUUUUUAUUGAGAAUGCUUUAAGGUCCCACCCAC
RNAcentral lists this unclassified non-coding RNA (252 nucleotides) under Hevea brasiliensis (rubber tree). Lineage: Eukaryota; Viridiplantae; Streptophyta; Magnoliopsida; Malpighiales; Euphorbiaceae. The record is from RNAcentral.